Molecule: unclassified non-coding RNA, 1133 nt
Filed under: Hevea brasiliensis (rubber tree)
Lineage: Eukaryota; Viridiplantae; Streptophyta; Magnoliopsida; Malpighiales; Euphorbiaceae
Source: RNAcentral
GGGCCUUAGCUGGUGAUCCGGGCUAUUUUCCUCUCGACGAUUAAGCUUAUCCCCCAUCGCUUUCAUCCUUAUCUCCAAAAUCAGAUCAAUUUCCAUUAAAAUCUUCAUCUAAAUUAGUCUCAACACCUUCUAACAUUGAACAUGAAAUUGAGGCUCUCUGCGCUUUUUUUGCGCUCUAAGCGCAAAAAAAGCCCUUACUUCAUUAUAUGCGCUCCGCUUAGCAUAAGUAAAAGCGUUUUCCUAUCUGUCGUUGCACUUCAGCACUUAAGCGAGUGCUUUUAGCGCUUUUGACUAUACUGCCCUUAACUAAAAGACUGUUUCUUGAUAUCUAAAAUGUAACCCGAAAAUAUAUAUAACCUCCCUUACUAACACAACAGCCAAGACUCCAAGACUAAUACGAAGAUUGAAGUAAAUCACACUCAAAUGGCAAUGUUACGCUACUCAGUUGACAACAGAAAUUGAAUACUGUUUUUCCAUUAUUUCUAACUCAUUAUUUUUCUUAGAUACUCCAAAGAAUCAAUCUCGGCAUUCAAAAGAAUCGCAUUCAAGUGUAAAAGACAUUAUAAAAAUCUUCCUCCCUAUCAACAAACAAAUAAGUUCACUAAAAGUACCAAGUCAAUGCGUAAGUAUCCAAGAGAAAUCUAUCACUUCUUUUCUUCAUCACAACAGUUGCAUUAGAUGGCUACAUCGAAUUAUAUACUCCCCACAUCCAAUCCUCCUCUUCCACUCUCCCUCAACAACCCCAACCACAAAGCACAGGCAGACAAGCAUAUAAUUAAUAAUCUAGUCUAUGCUCACAAACGUGUUCUGAGCGGUUUAGUUUAGCAUUGAUGUUAGAAAGAGUGUAACUCUCACUCUCUCAAGCCAAUCUUUCCCCCACCCCCACCCCUCCGUUGGCCCUUGGCCUACUGCUCCCUCUCUGCUAUCCUAUUUUUCUUACCCUGGCCUAUUUGUUGUGUGCAUCAAGUCUAUCAUCCUUCUUGCAUUGGCAAAUCUCACCAAAGUUUUGAGAAAAUAUAACCAAGAACGAUAAAGACAUUUUCAGCAAUCGCUCACAGGGACCGUUAACCUUAAAGCUUGACUGCUUUCUGAGCCACCACAAAUGAAGGCUUUCUUCACACCAGUGUCUUCAU